This 57-nucleotide small RNA is filed under the name Alligator mississippiensis (American alligator). Lineage: Eukaryota; Metazoa; Chordata; Crocodylia; Alligatoridae. The record is from RNAcentral. RNAcentral also lists the same sequence under 1 other name.
GAUGCUGGUGGUUGGCACUCCUGGCCUCCAGGAUGGGGUUCAAGUCCCUACAGUGUC